CCGAACUUGGCGCGAAGUUGGGGGCUCCCGGGUUCCGGACCCAGGGCGCUGCCACGGGGCCCUGCGUCCGCGCGGGGAGGGCCGGGCGCGCGGGGCGGGCGGCGGGGGCGGCGGGGGCGGCCCGCACUGCUGGGAGCCGAGCCCUGCGAGCCCUGCGAGCCCUGCGAGCCCUGCGCGCGAGCCCAACCUCUCGCCAGCCGCGCGGGGCCGGCCACUGAGCAUGCCCAGUGAGCGAGCCGGGCUCGCUGCGGAAUGAUUAAACUUCCCCCGGGUUCAUUAGGCUCCCAGAAGGAAGUCGGGACGCGAGCCGGAGUCGUUGACGUCGGCGCUCUGCAAGCCCGUGACCUCGGGGAGGAGGAGGCGAGGGCCCGCGGGGUGGGGGUGGGGGCGGGGGCGGGGGCGGUGGACGGGGCUCCCCGAACCUGCCUCCGAGCGGGGCAGCUCUCCGAGGUCAGCCUUGGACGCCUUUGACCCGUGUCACUGCGGAGGGGACAGCCGCCACCGCGGCUCAGCCCGGGAACCCUGCGGGCCAGGCUACGUGGAGCCAGUGCAGGAUCUUCAAGCAUCAAUUACUCGGACUCCAAAGCACGUGAACCGCAGAUUUCCGGGAUGGUGUGUCUGCAGAGCUGUGUUCAGAGAAGCUGGUGAUGGAUGGGUCCAUUUGGACUCCCGGAAAGGGCCAGACGGUAUGUUUGAAAUCCUUGUUAUAGUCAUUGUCCUACACUUGCCAUCGAAACUUUUUUAUGUUUUUUCCACUAACGUAGCAGAAUUAUUAUGAUGACACUAAAUUGCCUGUGCAUUUUACUCUCCUGUAUGUUAGAGGUUAAUUGGACACCCAGGUAGUCAGGCCCAGGGUCCCCAGCAAGAAAGCAAAAAAGCCCAGAUAGCCAAGACCAAAUCGCACUAGCAUCCUGUUUUACAGCUUAGACAAGACCACAAUAGCAUCCUGUCUAGCCGCCUCUGCAAAAGUGACUUUUACAAAACAUCCUAAAACAGAACAAUUAACUGUAAAACAGUUGUCAGUAUCACAAGUUGAGGCGGGUGGUCUCCAGAUGUGAGCGCAAGAGACCAGCAACAUAGGAACAAUAACCCAACAGGUAGACAGGUGCAUGAUCAAAGCCCCGAUUGUCACACGUUAGCCACCAGUCCACAGAGACCCACACUGAGGAUGCUCAAAAUAGUUCCUGGAAAGAGCUUAUAAAAACCCGUAAAUGUGAACACCAAAAGGGCAACCCUCUCGGGUCCCCAACCUCCCUGGGUCCUUUGUACUAUUAUUGUUCAAUAAACUUUACCUUGCUGCCCACUGCUCUUCGUUUGGUCUACUUCUUCAUUCUUCGAAGCGGCAUGACUAAGAACUGUUGGCAUUAAGGGAAUAAAAAUCCUGAAGCACAUAUUCUUGUUUAUUGAGUUUCCGUAUGAAAAAAAGAAAACAUUGAGACCAAUCAUAAGUGAGAAAACAACCAUGAAUAUGCAUCAUUAGACAUGUGGAAGUUACUUUUAAGAAAAUAUCCAGUAUCCUAAAGAAUAGAGAGAAUUUUCUUUCUUUUAAAUAGGCUCCACACUUAGUGCUUGAACUCACAACCCUGAGAUCAAGGCCGGAACUGAGAUCAAGAGUGGGAUGCUUAGCUGACUGAGCCACCCAGGUGUCCAGAGAGAAUUGUGUUUAAUAUAAAGAGAAAACAAUAUAGGAUGGGCAGAGGGAGAUAGGAGAAUAAAGAAGAAGAAAAAAAAUGAGGGAAAAAAAAUAUCUUUUUCUCUCAGUGAACUCUCCCCCAAAGCUCAUAGGACUUAACUAAAUUAGAAAUUCCAGAGGCGUUUUAGUGACAUGAUCAGUUACCACAAUUUUCAUUUAAUAAAUGUGUACAUAGUGAUUUUUAUGUGCUAGGCACAGUUCUAAAUGCUUUACAUUCAGUCAUGUAAUCCUCAUUACCACUCUAGCAACUAUUACCACUCUUUUACUCAGACACAGGAUGAUUAAAUAAUUAAUCCAAAAUCACACGUAGGAUGUAAGUGGCAGAGCUGGGGUUCAAACCCAAGCAUUUAAAAUCUGGGCUCUUGGCCGUUUUAUAAACCACCUCCAGAGACAUUUCUGAAUCUGUUAAAAAAAAAAAAAAUCACCCCCCCCCCCCAAUUCUAAGCUCUCAAAGUCUCAUCAACUUUCUGCCAGUUUUCUCACCAAAUGGCCUAGUUUUUAUGGCCUGACUUUGCUCAAAGUUAAUUAGUAGUUAGAAAACUCUUGUGGUUGAUUUUGUAACAGGUUUCCAUGAGUCAUUUGAAAUUCUUUGUACAUUUUAGAGUUUACACUUUUGUUGCUUGAUAAAUGUUGCAGAGACAUUGCUGGCCUUAUAUGGAAAAUAACUAUUGCUGGAAGGAAAAUGAAUUAUUUACUUAGGUUACCCGUGAGUCUAUCAUCAGUAAAUUCUAUUCUUUCAUUCAAUCUAUUUUAUUUCCUGUAGCUUCUCUCAUGCAAUUUUUUUUUCCAACCGAGUAUUAUACGCUUCAAACGUAAUCAAGGUCAUAGGCCUAUGUAAGAUCCACAUCCUUGACCCUAAAAAGUUGUCAUCUAUCAUGAAUAGUUACUGAAAUAAAAUGUGCCUAAUAAUAUGUGGCCAGGUUAUUGAAUUUGCAAAGCUUUUCCAAGUUGGCAGUGGUAGACCAAGUAUUUUCUCCUUUAUUGGCCUUCUGAUUCAUAACAACCUUCACCUAGGCAUAGGAUGCCCUUUCUCUGCCCAUCCCUUAAAUAUUGUGCGUCUCUGGCUUUGAUCCUGUCCCUUUUCUUCUCAUCUUUCCUUUUAGAACUUAUUAAGUUUUAUAACUUUACUGUCUAUUCCAACCAGGGCCAGUUUCAUGAGCAUUUGAACAGUUGAUUUACAGAGGGCCCUGCACUGAGAAGGACUUAAUGCCUGGGAGUCUUAAUGUUCUGUAGUUGCAGUCUUGAAAUUCUUUUUUUUGUUUGUUUGUUUAAGAUUUUAUUUAUUAAUUUUAGAUGGAGAGAAUGAUUUGAGGGGAGAGGCAGAAGGAGAGGGAGAAGCAGACUCCCUUAUAAGCAGGGAACCUGACCCAGGGCUCUAACCAAGGACCCGGGAUCAUGACCUGAGUUGAAGACAUAUGGUUAACCAACUGAGCCACCCAGGUGCCUUUACAGGUUUGAAAUUCAUUCUCUUUCUUUCUUUCUUUCUUUCUUUCUUUCUUUCUUUCUUUCUUUCUUUCUUUCUUUCUCUCUCUCUCUCCCUUUUUAAAGAUUUAUUUAUUUAUUUAUUUAUUUAUUUAUUUAUUUAUUUAUGAGAGACACACACACACACAGAGAGAGAGAGAGAGAGAGAGAGGCAGAGACACAGACAGAGGGAGAAGCAGGCUCCAUGCAGGGAGCCUGAUGUGGGACUCGAUACUGGGACUCCAGGAUCAUGCCCUGGGCCGAAGGCAGGCACUAAACCUCUGAGCCACCCAGGGAUCCCCCAGGCUUAAAAUUCUUAAUAAUAUUAUCUUUGAUUUUUUCUUUUUUUCUUUUUUUCUUUUUUUUUUUUAUACAUGGAGUUCAAUGAGACAAUGAAGUGUGCUUGGUUUUCAUACAGUCCUGCCUCCCACUGCCUCUGCCUCCCUGGGAUAGUUUCUCAGCCUUGCCCACGUUCCUUUUUCCCCUACCCAGAACUACUAGGACCAAGAAAUCCUAGGCAUAGAGAAGGUCAGGUCAUGUUCAUGCAUCUGUGGUGUUGUGGGGUAUGGCAUGAUGGCACC
This 3735-nucleotide long non-coding RNA is filed under the name Canis lupus familiaris (dog). RNAcentral's name for it is "lncRNA (ENSCAFG00845028615.1)". The record is from RNAcentral. Lineage: Eukaryota; Metazoa; Chordata; Mammalia; Carnivora; Canidae.